GACGAACGCUGGCGGCGUGCUUAACACAUGCAAGUCGAACGGCAAGGCCCUGCUUUUGUGGGGUGCUCGAGUGGCGAACGGGUGAGUAACACGUGAGUAACCUGCCCUUGACUUUGGGAUAACUUCAGGAAACUGGGGCUAAUACCGGAUAGGAGCUCCUGCUGCAUGGUGGGGGGUGGAACGUUUCGGCGGUUGGGGAUGGACUCGCGGCUUAUCAGCUUGUUGGUUGGGUAGUGGCUUACCAAGGCUGUGACGGGUAGCCGGCCUGAGAGGGUGACCGGCCACAUUGGGACUGAGAUACGGACCAGACUCCUACGGGAGGCAGCAGGGGGGAAUAUUGCACAGUGGGCGGAAGCCUGAUGCAGCAACGCCGCGUGCGGGAUGACGGCCUUCGGGUUGUAAACCGCUUUCGCCUGUGACGAAGCGUGAGUGACGGUAAUGGGUAAAGAAGCACCGGCUAACUACGUG
RNAcentral lists this ribosomal RNA (468 nucleotides) under uncultured bacterium. RNAcentral's name for it is "partial 16S ribosomal RNA". It matches the Rfam family "Bacterial small subunit ribosomal RNA", at positions 28 to 507 of the family's 1533-position model. The record is from RNAcentral.